RNAcentral lists this ribosomal RNA (1343 nucleotides) under uncultured bacterium. Its description in RNAcentral is "16S ribosomal RNA". It matches the Rfam family "Bacterial small subunit ribosomal RNA", at positions 28 to 1378 of the family's 1533-position model. The record is from RNAcentral.
GACGAACGCUGGCGGCGUGCUUAACACAUGCAAGUCGAACGGAAAGGCCCUGCUUUUGUGGGGUGCUCGAGUGGCGAACGGGUGAGUAACACGUGAGUAACCUGCCCUUGACUUUGGGAUAACUUCAGGAAACUGGGGCUAAUACCGGAUAGGAGCUCCUGCUGCAUGGUGGGGGUUGGAAAGUUUCGGCGGUUGGGGAUGGACUCGCGGCUUAUCAGCUUGUUGGUGGGGUAGUGGCUUACCAAGGCUUUGACGGGUAGCCGGCCUGAGAGGGUGACCGGCCACAUUGGGACUGAGAUACGGCCCAGACUCCUACGGGAGGCAGCAGUGGGGAAUAUUGCACAAUGGGCGGAAGCCUGAUGCAGCAACGCCGCGUGCGGGAUGACGGCCUUCGGGUUGUAAACCGCUUUCGCCUGUGACGAAGCGUGAGUGACGGUAAUGGGUAAAGAAGCACCGGCUAACUACGUGCUAGCAGCCGCGGUGAUACGUAGGGUGCGAGCGUUGUCCGGAUUUAUUGGGCGUAAAGGGCUCGUAGGUGGUUGAUCGCGUCGGAAGUGUAAUCUUGGGGCUUAACCCUGAGCGUGCUUUCGAUACGGGUUGACUUGAGGAAGGUAGGGGAGAAUGGAAUUCCUGGUGGAGCGGUGGAAUGCGCAGAUAUCAGGAGGAACACCAGUGGCGAAGGCGGUUCUCUGGGCCUUUCCUGACGCUGAGGAGCGAAAGCGUGGGGAGCGAACAGGCUUAGAUACCCUGGUAGUCCACGCUGUAAACGGUGGGUACUAGGUGUGGGGUCCAUUCCACGGGUUCCGUGCCGUAGCUAACGCUUUAAGUACCCCGCCUGGGGAGUACGGCCGCAAGGCUAAAACUCAAAGGAAUUGACGGGGCACCGCACAAGCGGCGGAGCAUGCGGAUUAAUUCGAUGCAACGCGUAGAACCUUACCUGGGUUUGACAUGGAUCGGGAGUGCUCAGAGAUGGGUGUGCCUCUUUUGGGGUCGGUUCACAGGUGGUGCAUGGCUGUCGUCAGCUCGUGUCGUGAGAUGUUGGGUUAAGUCCCGCAACGAGCGCAACCCUUGUUCACUGUUGCCAGCACGUUAUGGUGGGGACUCAGUGGAGACCGCCGGGGUCAACUCGGAGGAAGGUGGGGAUGACGUCAAGUCAUCAUGCCCCUUAUGUCCAGGGCUUCACGCAUGCUACAAUGGCUGGUACAGAGAGUGGCGAGCCUGUGAGGGUGAGCGAAUCUCGGAAAGCCGGUCUCAGUUCGGAUUGGGGUCUGCAACUCGACCUCAUGAAGUCGGAGUCGCUAGUAAUCGCAGAUCAGCAACGCUGCGGUGAAUACGUUCCCGGG